RNAcentral lists this long non-coding RNA (1053 nucleotides) under Oryzias sinensis (Chinese medaka). RNAcentral's name for it is "lncRNA (ENSOSIG00000015273.1)". The record is from RNAcentral. Lineage: Eukaryota; Metazoa; Chordata; Actinopteri; Beloniformes; Adrianichthyidae.
AUGGCCUGGAGCUCGUGGGCGGGGUUCAGGAUGGGCUCCACCAGCAGGACGUGGGUCGCCUCGAUGAUGUUCAGCCCGUUGGAGCCGGUGUGGAGAGGGAGGAGGAGGAUGUUGAUCUUCUCCUCGUACUUGAAGGAGCUCAGGUUCUCCUGGAACAGAACCGUGGUUCCUGUCAGACGCCGUGAGCACAGAAGACCACCCAGCAGCGUCCCAGGCGGAGCUCAGACCCACCUGGAACUUGUGAAUCCCGUUAAUUUGGGAGAACUCCAUGCUGUUGUCGAACAAGGCCUUGGCGAUGAUGUCCAGAACGCUCUGCCACUGUUCAGAACCAGAGAGCAGCCGGUCAGACCCGAACCCGCAGCCCGAAGCCAAGCCGAGCAGACGGAGCGGUUACCGUGGAGAAGACCAGACACUUGGCUCCGGGAUCCCGUAUCUGGAACCUCUUCAGCGUACUCACCACAGCCUCCACCUUGGUGGAAUGGCUCCCCUGAAGCGGAGAACAGAACAUUCUGGGAUGUGAUGGAAGCUCCGCCCUGCGGGGGCCAGUGGGGGCCGGCGGGGGCUGACCUUCACAGGGAUGUCUUGGUCCUGGCUGCUGGACUGCGUGGUGAACACGUAGGAGAUUUCGGCGUGGGACGUAGUCUGCCUGCAGAUGGCGCAUUUGAUGGCUCGGCGCCGCGAGCCCACGCUGUACUGCUCCACGAUGAUGGAGAUGCACUCGUUACAGAAGCAGUGGCCGCAGGUCAGCACCGCCCACUGCAGGGCGGAGAGGGUCAGGGAGGCGGCGGCGCUGCAGAGCUAGGAGGAGGUUGGAGGGAGACUCACCUCCUGGCCCAGAGGCCGGGCACAGAUGGGACAUGGUUCUGGGUUCAGCUCGCCCGUAGACUUGUCCUGGGACUUGAAGAAGAAGGGUUUGGGGUUCAGUGCCGGCACAGAUGUCACGGCUCUCCGUGUAGCGGCGUUACCUUCUCCAGGCAGAGGAACAGCUUCAGCCCCAACGCCUCAGCAGACACCCGGGCGCGGCGUCGGGACGGACCUCGUGCGGUUCGAUGA